CGCUGUUCCGAUCUGUAAGAAGUGAUUCAAUUUUGAAGGUCAUAGGUCAAAGGACAAAGUCCGGAAAAAUCUUGGAACAAUCCCUAUCUUUAAUAUUGAAUGAAUAUUCAACAAAUUAUAACUCUGUCAAAAAAGAUCACAUUUCUUUCAUAUUUGGCAGCUUUAUGUAGGAUGGUAUCAUUUAAUGAC
Long non-coding RNA from Thalassophryne amazonica, 189 nucleotides. RefSeq lists it as uncharacterized. The record is from RefSeq and is a predicted model, not a curated record. Lineage: Eukaryota; Metazoa; Chordata; Actinopteri; Batrachoidiformes; Batrachoididae. The transcript has 3 exons.